RNAcentral lists this unclassified non-coding RNA (221 nucleotides) under Hevea brasiliensis (rubber tree). The record is from RNAcentral. Lineage: Eukaryota; Viridiplantae; Streptophyta; Magnoliopsida; Malpighiales; Euphorbiaceae.
GCAAAAAACACCAUAAAUCAUUCCCUUGACAUAUUAGAACCCAAAGUCAAAUAAAUGAAAGGCACAAUUAAAGUAGAAAAGAUGGGUCCUCAUGUAAAUAUCAUUUUCUCAUGUCCAACUUAACGCUUCCAAUCUCUUCACAAUGUCCAACUGCCUAGAGGUUUACUCAAGACUAAAAUCCAAUAGCAAAAGUUGUCAAGUGAAAAAAUUAAACCUAAAAG